This 90-nucleotide non-coding RNA is filed under the name bovine gut metagenome. The record is from RNAcentral.
AGUCAAGGGGAGCUUGUAAACUUGCUGAGAGGAAGGUGUGACCUUCGACCCGUAACCUGAUUUGGAUAAUGCCAACGUAGGGAAUAAUAU